ACGCUGGCGGCGUGCUUAACACAUGCAAGUCGAACGAUGAAGCCUAGCUUGCUAGGUGGAUUAGUGGCGAACGGGUGAGUAAUACGUGAGUAACCUACCUUUAACUCUGGGAUAAGCCUGGGAAACUGGGUCUAAUACCGGAUACGACCAAUCUCCGCAUGGGGUGUUGGUGGAAAGCGUUAUGUAGUGGUUAUAGAUGGGCUCACGGCCUAUCAGCUUGUUGGUGAGGUAACGGCUCACCAAGGCGACGACGGGUAGCCGGCCUGAGAGGGUGACCGGCCACACUGGGACUGAGACACGGCCCAGACUCCUACGGGAGGCAGCAGUGGGGAAUAUUGCACAAUGGGCGCAAGCCUGAUGCAGCGACGCCGCGUGAGGGAUGACGGCCUUCGGGUUGUAAACCUCUGUUAGCAGGGAAGAAGAGAAAUUGACGGUACCUGCAGAGAAAGCGCCGGCUAACUGCGUGCCAGCAGCCGCGGUAAUACGUAGGGCGCGAGCGUUGUCCGGAAUUAUUGGGCGUAAAGAGCUUGUAGGCGGUUUGUCGCGUCUGCUGUGAAAGGCCGGGGCUUAACCCCGUGUAUUGCAGUGGGUACGGGCAGACUAGAGUGCAGUAGGGGAGACUGGAACUCCUGGUGUAGCGGUGGAAUGCGCAGAUAUCAGGAAGAACACCGAUGGCGAAGGCAGGUCUCUGGGCUGUAACUGACGCUGAGAAGCGAAAGCAUGGGGAGCGAACAGGAUUAGAUACCCUGGUAGUCCAUGCCGUAAACGUUGGGCACUAGGUGUGGGGGACAUUCCACGUUUUCCGCGCCGUAGCUAACGCAUUAAGUGCCCCGCCUGGGGAGUACGGCCGCAAGGCUAAAACUCAAAGAAAUUGACGGGGGCCCGCACAAGCGGCGGAGCAUGCGGAUUAAUUCGAUGCAACGCGAAGAA
RNAcentral lists this ribosomal RNA (930 nucleotides) under uncultured bacterium. RNAcentral's name for it is "bacterial SSU rRNA". It matches the Rfam family "Bacterial small subunit ribosomal RNA", at positions 33 to 968 of the family's 1533-position model. The record is from RNAcentral.